Molecule: long non-coding RNA, 408 nt
Organism: Caretta caretta (loggerhead turtle)
Lineage: Eukaryota; Metazoa; Chordata; Testudines; Cheloniidae
Source: RefSeq, a predicted model, not a curated record
CUUGUCUAGCAAUUGAUAGAUAAAUGUGUUGUAUUUUACCCAACUCUCUCUCUCUCUUUUUCUUGUAAAGCUUUGUUGCCUCACUGGCUUAGCCCAUCUUUUAAAAGAAAAUAAUUUCAUCAGGGCUUGUCACCAAAAUGGACCGUUCCCUUCCUUUGCAGCUCAACGGGGUGAUGGCUAAGCAGUGGAAUUUAAAAAAGAAUGAGAAGAAAAAAGGAACAGCCCCCACAUUUGGCCACAUGUAAUCUGCCUUUGGAAUCUGGAACAGAAGUCGCAUCGAUAUGGUUUCGAAAUAUGUGAAAACUAAUAUGAAAUUCCUUGUUGAUGGUGAAUGUUGGAAGUAAAGCCCAGUACCUGUAAAAUGAGCCCCUGUCUAUCACAUGCUUCAUAUUAAACUUUCAUGCAGUU